This 422-nucleotide ribosomal RNA is filed under the name uncultured prokaryote. RNAcentral's name for it is "bacterial SSU rRNA". It matches the Rfam family "Bacterial small subunit ribosomal RNA", at positions 355 to 774 of the family's 1533-position model. The record is from RNAcentral.
UGAGGAAUAUUGGUCAAUGGGCGCAAGCCUGAACCAGCCAUCCCGCGUGCAGGAAGACGGCCCUAUGGGUUGUAAACUGCUUUUCCAGGGGGAGAAUUUUUCUGUCGUGACCGGUAUUGACGGUACCCUGGGAAUAAGCAUCGGCUAACUCCGUGCCAGCAGCCGCGGUAAUACGGAGGAUGCGAGCGUUGUCCGGAUUUAUUGGGUUUAAAGGGUGCGUAGGCGGAUAGGUAAGUCAGUGGUGAAAACCUGCAGCUUAACUGUAGACUUGCCGUUGAUACUGGCAGUCUUGAGUAUGGUGAAGGUAGGCGGAAUGUGUAAUGUAGCGGUGAAAUGCUUAGAUAUUACACAGAACACCGAUUGCGAAGGCAGCUUGCUGAGCCAUUACUGACGCUGAUGCACGAAAGCGUGGGGAUCGAACA